RNAcentral lists this non-coding RNA (24 nucleotides) under Arabidopsis thaliana (thale cress). The record is from RNAcentral. Lineage: Eukaryota; Viridiplantae; Streptophyta; Magnoliopsida; Brassicales; Brassicaceae.
UGCAAAUGCAUAUGGGUUAAUGAU